CCAGUUUACAAGAUAGCCAUGCAUGCCUAAGACUAUGAGGAAGCAAUUCUCUCUGAAUCUGCGAACGGCUCCGCAAACCAGUUGUAAACCAUAGCAGCGUUCCGCCCGGCUUCAGCAAUGGGGCCGGGCAUUAUAUGGAUAACCGUGGUAAUUCUGAGGCUAAUACAUGACACACUAACCCGUCGGGCUGGGGGCAACCUCGGCUUGGUGGGGGACGUGCGAUAAACACCGGCUACAAUUAAAAAUACCGCGAAAAGGACGCACGUUCAGACCGCCAUCCAAACGGGGGAGGGGGCUUCGGCUUCGGAACCCGGGCGGCCCCUGCAACGGGCUUCUGACCUAUCAACUAGACGGCAGCGUAAGGGACAUGCUAUGGUAACAACGGGUACAGAGGAUUAGGGUUCGAUCCUGGAGAGUGGGCCUGAGAGAUUGCUCAUACUUCUAAGGAAGGCAGCAGGCGCGCAACGUUCCCCUUGGGCAAAGCUCGAGGGCGUUAUGGGAAAUAUGAAUGCUUGCCUUUACGGUGGGCAAUUCAAAUGGGUUUGUCGUAAACAGGCUCUCGAGUAACAAUUAGAGGACAAGUCUGGUGCCAGCACCCGCGGUAAUUCCAGCUCUAAUAGCAUACGUUAAAGUUGUUGCGGUUAAAACGCUCGUAGUCGGCUUCAGACCAUCAGAAGCCUGGCUCGGGGUCUCGGGUCUGUGCCUCGCAAGGGGUGCGCCUUGGUCUUGGGCCGGGUGGGCGGCGGUCAAUCGUGCCCAGUGGCGUGUCGCGGCUUGCCGUGGCUUACAGGGCCUUCGGGAUCAAAACCCGGCUUCCGCAAGGGGGUCGGGUCCCGUCGGUCUGGCUCUGGGUACCAAUUACCAUGAUUAAACCGGAGUGAUCAAAGCAAACCGCUGCGGUUACUGCACGGAUUAGCAUGGCAUAAGGAUGCGUCGGGUUGGUCUCGUAGCGGGCCUCCUCGGCAAUUCCGCGAAAGGGGUGUUCGGGGGCAGCCGAAUUGCCGGGCUAGUGGUGAAAUACGUUGACCCUGGCAAGUCGACCGAAAGCGAAAGCAGCUGUCAAGGGCACACCCGUUGAUCAAGAGCGAAAGUUAAGGGUUCGAAGACGAUCAGAUACCGUCGUAGUCUUAACUAUAAAUGAUACUGGCCAGGGAUAGGGCAAUGUCCAUCUCGACUCCCCCCGGACUUUUGGGAAACCAAAGCCUAUGAGUUCUGGGGGAGUAUGGGACCGCC
This 1233-nucleotide ribosomal RNA is filed under the name Comatricha alta var. macrospora. RNAcentral's name for it is "SSU rRNA". It matches the Rfam family "Eukaryotic small subunit ribosomal RNA", at positions 31 to 1137 of the family's 1831-position model. Lineage: Eukaryota; Evosea; Eumycetozoa; Stemonitida; Stemonitidae. The record is from RNAcentral.